This is a long non-coding RNA of Oreochromis aureus, 333 nucleotides long. The record is from Ensembl. Lineage: Eukaryota; Metazoa; Chordata; Actinopteri; Cichliformes; Cichlidae.
GUUUGUAAUACAGUAAUUUGUUUCUUACAGAUGUCAAAGUCUCAACCUGAUGCUGCCCUCCCCCAUCCUCCUAAAGUUCAAUGGUGUGUGUUCUUCUAAUGGCCGCCUUCCCACUGGAGGUUUUGAUCCACAGCAAUUUAAAAGGAGGACAGAUCAAAACGGACAUCGGCGCAGAGUGAAGAACUGCCCUUCAUAAGGACACUAUGACAGCCAUAUAUAGUAAGUGAAGACUUUCUGUGUAUCUAAAAUUGCAUACAGCACAAGUAACUUACUUUGCAACCAUUAAAAUAGGUUGUAAAGUAAGUUACCAAUACAAAUAGGUGAUGAUGCAUU